CCAGAUCCCUGCAGCUGCAGCCCCUGUGGGCCCCUGAGAGCCUAGAGACACCAAGAUGGCUGAAGUGCAGUCACCAUCCUUAGGGAGAGGCGAGAAAGACAGGCCAUAGAGCUGAAAAUUACAACACAGUAUGGCCUGGCAACAGUGGAACUCAGAGCAAGAAACAGAGGAGGGAUCCAUCAAUUCUGGGGAAGUUUCAGAAUAGGAGGGAGCUUCACUCCACGCAGAGGAAGGGGCUCCUGCAAACACUGGAGGAAAGAACAUCCUCUGUGACGUCACAGAGUAUGAGGCUCCUAGUUCUAAUAGGAUUGGAUGGGGGUUGUGCUGCUGUGAGAGAUGCAGUGUUGCUCACAUUAUCUUCCAAAUGGAUUCACUUUCAUUAAAAUGACAAUUGUUUUACAGUCAUAA
Molecule: long non-coding RNA, 408 nt
Organism: Homo sapiens (human)
Lineage: Eukaryota; Metazoa; Chordata; Mammalia; Primates; Hominidae
Source: Ensembl